Long non-coding RNA from Gasterosteus aculeatus aculeatus (three-spined stickleback), 2837 nucleotides. NCBI's taxonomy places the organism in Eukaryota, Metazoa, Chordata, Actinopteri, Perciformes, Gasterosteidae. The record is from Ensembl.
CACACACACACACACACACACGCACACACACACGUAGGCAAGUGACCAUCAAAGCAGACCUUGGGCUAACGUGUGUGUGCGUGUGUCUUCACAGUGAUCAUAGCAACGCUGAGUAAACAUGCUGACAUAUUAAACCUGGGUCACAUGACCUCUCCUCUGAUAAAAGGACCCUCAGCACCUCGGACAGCGCCGACUCCUUCACCCUCUGAACGGCCGGUUCUGAUGCUUCACUGGUCUGAGCUGCGUUAGUCCCACCGGCCCGUGAGGGCGUUUCUCUUCUUUACUUUCUGUGAAUGUCGUUUUGAGCAAAUGGCAGAUGUUUGUCGUGUCAGGAGGAGGCGUGAUCAUCUGCAGACGGGAGAGUCGAAGCAGGACGAUUCACGAACAAAUGAUUAAUGGUGUUUUCAUUCAGUCCCUGGAAUCGUAUUGAUCUGUUAUUGGUCUGGUCUGUUCCUCAAGCUUGAAGCUCUGACUUUUCUCUUCUAUUUUUAGACGUUUUAUAAAGUAAAGAAUGAAUCGAUAUGUACAGGAAAACAUCCGCAGAUGAAUUACUGAUUGAACGUAAACAUUCUUAUCAGAAUAUGUAACAUCACUAAACCUGCCCCCCCCUGAUCCCCCUUUGACUCAAAAAGUCAAAAGAUAUUAGGUCAAUAUUCAAAAUAUGUUUGUUAAAAAAGUCCAAAAAUAUUAUGUCAAAAUAUUUCAGGCCAAAAAAAGGUUCAAUGUUUUGAAAAAUAUAUAUAUAUAUAUAUAUAAAGUUGAAAAACUCAUAUCAAAUCAAAAUAUGUUAGGUCCAAACAUUCAGGGAAAGAAAAAUGUCAACAACAAGAAAUAUCGGGUCAAACUUUUCACCAAAAAAAAAGUUUAAAAAAUGUUCAUGAAAAUGAAGUCACUGAAAAAGUGUUUUGAUGUUUUGAGAAAAAGUCAAAAUAUGUUGUGUGGAAAAAAGUCUAAAAAUUAUGGAAAAUGGUCGGAAAAUAUUUUAGUUCAAAAGUCAAAAUAUCAUCGAAUAAUAUCAUGGAUCAAAAAAGUAAAAAAAUCUUAGGUCAAAAUAUGUUUUGAAAAAAACCUUCAGCCGUGAAUCAGAUACCUGACGAAUAAUCCUGAUUCCUCCUGUUGCUGCUGUCUCACUGACUCCGACUAGUGUUUCCAUGGCGAUGACGCUUCGCUGCGUCAUGAGUAAGCACCACGAGGUGUGUGUCUGUCUGUGUGUCUGUGCGUCUGUGUGUGUGUGUGUGUGUGUCUCACUUAGACGUGCUAAGAAUCCAAAGGUGAUGCUGCACUCCCAAGCGUCUUCUAACACACACACACACACACUAAUCACCCUGCCGCCUCACGUAGAUGUGAUAAUAGCUAAUUCAUCAUUGUGUAGGAAUAUUCCCUGCGUGUGUUUGUGCGUUUGUGUGUGUGUCUCUUUCCUUUAAUGUCAAGUCCAGCGAUGCAGAUCAGAGCAGACUUACAUUCACUGAUUAGACAAAGACACACACUCACCGACGACUCUCUCAAACCUCACAUGGAUGCAAACCACACACACACACACACACACACACACACACACACACAAUACAGCCUGAAACACAAAGACCUGCCCAAUUAAGAAGACUGAUGUAGCGCAACAAAUUCAAUUAUAUCUCAUUGUAUAAUUACAUGUGACUAAAUUAAAGGCAGGAAGGAUGGAAGGAAGGAAGGAAGGAGGAGAAGGUCUCAACCUGAACAUCAUAGCGUGAUGGAGGGAGAGGAGAGGAGAGGAGGUUCAAACCAGACCGACGAGGCUGAAAGGGAGGAGCGGCACGCGAGAAUCCUCCACCGUUACUGAGUGAGGGAUGAAGGAGAGAAGGUGGAGGAAGGAACAGAGGGUUUAUGGAGGCGAUGAAGGGUGGACGGACGGAGGGGACGACGGUGGAGAUAAACGAGAAGACCGAGAGGUGGAAUAGAACGUCUGCUGAGAGCAUGCCAGAGAGGAUUAUGGGAAGGAAGGAGAAUUAAAGAAAAAAUGAAUAAACCUGAAGAGAAGGAUGAAGAGGAACAGAGGAAGAGGAGGGAUUAGGGGGGGGGGGGUGCUCCCCCAGGAUGGGUUGUAGCACCGGGAGUUGAGAUAUUUUCAGUUCAGCCAGCGGUCUCCUCUCCUCGCUGUUGGUUCUAUCUUUAGAGCGUUACACAACAAAGGUUCUCAUCACCGGCCAACAUGGUUCCACUCAGCAAAUGAAGAUAAUGGAAGGUGAUGAAGAUGAUGGAAGAUAAUGGAAGGUGAUGAAGAUAAUGGAAGGUGAUGAAGAUGAUGGUAGGGGAUGAAGAUGAUGGUAGGUGAUGAAGAUGAUGGUAGGGGAUGAAGAUAUGGAAAGAUAAUGGAAGGUGAUGAAGAAAAUGGAAGGUGAUGAAGAUGAUGGUAGGGGAUGCCUGAGAAUCAGAAGUGUUCAGAAGGUCAAUUGGAGACUUUUCGUAUUGCUUUUGUCAAAUAGCUGCAGAUGUUGCAGAUGUUGUGCAUCUGGAUGGAGGUCAAGAAAACCCAGAUGAAAGGAGGUGGAGCGAAAUAUUUAAGAACUGUAACAGAGAAGAUUUGGGGGUGGGGGGGUGGAGGCUGAUGGAGGGCAGGAGUGAUGGAGCGAGAACAGCUGGAGGGCAGAGAGCGUGAUGGAGGGAGCUUAAAGAGAGGGAGAAAUGGAUGGAUGAAGUAACGAGGAGAGGGGAGGCACAUAGAGAGAGAACUUUCUCCCAUUGGAGACUGAGCUGCAACUGAGCUUUAAUGCUUAAUGUAACAUGUUCAUGUGGUCAUAUGUUCAUGGUUCAUAUGUUCAUGUUUCAUGUGUUCAUAUGUUCAUGUUAUCUGUGUUCAUUUU